GACGAACGCUGGCGGCGUGCUUAACACAUGCAAGUCGAACGGAAAGGCCCUGCUUUUGUGGGGUGCUCGAGUGGCGAACGGGUGAGUAACACGUGAGUAACCUGCCCUUGACUUUGGUAUAACUUCAGGAAACUGGGGCUAAUACCGGAUAGGAGCUCCUGCUGCAUGGUGGGGGUUGGAAAGUUUCGGCGGUUGGGGAUGGACUCGCGGCUUAUCAGCUUGUUGGUGGGGUAGUGGCUUACCAAGGCUUUGACGGGUAGCCGGCCUGAGAGGGUGACCGGCCACAUUGGGACUGAGAUACGGCCCAGACUCCUACGGGAGGCAGCAGUGGGGAAGAUUGCACAAUGGGCGGAAGCCUGAUGCAGCAACGCCGCGUGCGGGAUGACGGCCUUCGGGUUGUAAACCGCUUUCGCCUGUGACGAAGCGUGAGUGACGGUAAUGGGUAAAGAAGCACCGGCUAACUACGUG
This 468-nucleotide ribosomal RNA is filed under the name uncultured bacterium. RNAcentral describes it as "partial 16S ribosomal RNA". It matches the Rfam family "Bacterial small subunit ribosomal RNA", at positions 28 to 507 of the family's 1533-position model. The record is from RNAcentral.